AACGGCCAUAUUUUGCUGUACACAUCAGUUCUUAUUGGAUUACUGAAGUUAAGCAUCAUCGGGCCUGGUCAGUAGUUGGCAGGGUGGCCACAUGGGAACAGU
Trichonephila clavipes is the source of this 102-nucleotide non-coding RNA. The record is from the annotation of a GenBank genome assembly. Lineage: Eukaryota; Metazoa; Arthropoda; Arachnida; Araneae; Nephilidae.